UACGUAGGGUGCAAGCGUUGUCCGGAAUUAUUGGGCGUAAAGAGCUCGUAGGCGGCCUGUUACGUCUGCUGUGAAAUCCCGGGGCUUAACCCCGGGCGUGCAGUGGAUACGGGCAGGCUGGAGGCAGGCAGGGGAGAACGGAAUUCCCGGUGUAGCGGUGAAAUGCGCAGAGUAUCGGGAGGAACACCGGUGGCGAAGGCGGGUCUCUGGGCCCGUAACUGACGCUGAGGAGCGAAAGCAUGGGGAGCGAACAGG
Molecule: ribosomal RNA, 255 nt
Filed under: uncultured bacterium
Lineage: Bacteria
Description: partial 16S ribosomal RNA
Rfam family: Bacterial small subunit ribosomal RNA
Source: RNAcentral